AAAAACAAAAACAAAAGACUCUCUUCACUCCACUCUCUCCCCACUCAGUAACCAUUCCCUGCUCCACUCACGCUCCACUUACUCUCUCCAUCCUCUCCUCACAAACGACAAAAAGAAAAUAUAUACAAAAAACCACUCACUACUCACUACAGUACUCACUCUCAUUUUGCUCAGAAAAAAUCUCAGCACAAAAACGCUCCCUUCCAUCUCUCACUCUCCUCACUCACUCUCUCAGAUAUCUCACAAAACCCUAUCCGCCGCUACCUCACCAUCCUCUCACUCUCGGAAAUUUCCUCUCCAUCUCUUCAACCAACCGUCAAAAUCACACAUUCUCCAUCGUCGCCUCCAGCUUCAUCGCUUCAAAUCACCACCUCCAUCGAUUCACUCAUCCACCAACACCACCAUUAAACAACCACCAAAACCCCAAAUCUCUCUUCAAAACCCUCGCCGCCGUUCCCAUCAUCUUCACACAAAUCCGCCGGCGAAUCCUUCCGUCUCCACUACCUUCAAAACCCUUAACUCCACACCGCCGUCACCUCCAUUAAAACCACCGUCGUCCUCCUUACGAGUACAUCUUCAAAACCUCAGCCACCACACCACUCACCAUCAAAACCCUCCGCCUAUCCACACUACCGUCAAGCAACCGCAACCUCCGCUCCACCUCCGUGUAAAUCGCUUACCUCGCCGCCACACAUCGCCGUAAAACCUCAAACCCAAAAUCGACCCUCUCACUCCAUCGUCGCCUCCAGCUUCAUCACCUUCAAUCGCCUUUCACCGUCCGUCAAAACUUUUCCACUGCCAUCACCAAGCCAUCGCCAGAAUCUGCCGCUGCCGAAAGCCUCAACGAAAACAGCAAACCACGGUGAAGCUUCUGAUAUUGUACGUUUCAGGAUCAUUGAGAUAUGGCAUAUAUUGUUAUUGUGGGAAUUAUGAAUUGAAAUCCUGCAACUCACUUCGUAUGCUAUUGUUAUGGAUACUGUGAAUAAAUAGUACAUGAUAAAUAUGUGGUUUCUGUUCAUACAUUAUUUUAGUUUUAUUAGCAUAUCAUGGCUUUAUAGAAACUUUAUGUUGUGUUCAAUAGUUUAAUAAGGGUUCCAUCCUGCUUUUAGUUGGUUUGUGAGUCUCCACACAUCUAGUAAAAUAAUUCUAUAUUGUUGUAAAUAAUGCAAAAUUGUUUUUCUGUGGUAAAAUCAGAGUUUCAUUCUCGGAUUCGACAAUUUCAUGUCGUUAUGCCGCCCGAAAAUUCCAAUAAAAUUAAUUGUACAUUUUCACCGA
Molecule: long non-coding RNA, 1275 nt
Organism: Lathyrus oleraceus (garden pea)
Lineage: Eukaryota; Viridiplantae; Streptophyta; Magnoliopsida; Fabales; Fabaceae
Exons: 2
Source: RefSeq, a predicted model, not a curated record